This 447-nucleotide ribosomal RNA is filed under the name uncultured bacterium. Its description in RNAcentral is "bacterial SSU rRNA". It matches the Rfam family "Bacterial small subunit ribosomal RNA", at positions 330 to 792 of the family's 1533-position model. The record is from RNAcentral.
ACCAGACUCCUACGGGAGGCAGCAGUGGGGGAUAUUGCACAAUGGGGGAAACCCUGAUGCAGCGACGCCGCGUGGGCGAAGAAGUAUUUCGGUAUGUAAAGCCCUAUCAGCAGGGAAGAAGAAAUGACGGUACCUGAGUAAGAAGCACCGGCUAAAUACGUGCCAGCAGCCGCGGUAAUACGUAUGGUGCAAGCGUUAUCCGGAUUUACUGGGUGUAAAGGGAGCGCAGGCGGCACGGCAAGCCUGGAGUGAAAGCCCGGGGCCCAACCCCGGGACUGCUCUGGAAACUGCGUCGCUGGAGUGCGGGAGGGGCAGGCGGAAUUCCUGGUGUAGCGGUGAAAUGCGUAGAUAUCAGGAGGAACACCGGCGGCGAAGGCGGCCUGCUGGACCGUGACUGACGUUGAGGCUCGAGAGCGUGGGGAGCAAACAGGAUUAGAUACCCUGGUA